AAAGGAACGCCUUGAAGUAAAGGGUACAAGGGCUGUCCCUGACUUUUCGUCGUGCACGCCCUGAGUGCUCUCACAUACAAAUAUCCAUCUCACCCCUUUGUGCAUCACCGCGUGUGUCCCCCCUUCCUCGGAAGGGGGUGCUCACGUUUUUAACAUCCCCCGUAGAAUGUUCCUUGCGCGAUCACGCGCGAAUCAAUACAACUUUCAACAACGGAUCUCUUGGCUCUCGCAUCGAUGAAGAACGCAGCGAAAUGCGAUACGUAAUGUGAAUUGCAGAAUUCAGUGAAUCAUCGAAUCUUUGAACGCACCUUGCGCCCCUUGGCAUUCCGAGGGGCACACCCGUUUGAGUGUCGUGAACAUCCUCAACCUGCUUCGUUCUAUCGAACCAAGUAGGCUUGGAAUUUGGAGGUUUUUCUGCUGGCUUCCUCUGAAGCCCAGCUCCUCUUAAAUCUAUCAGUGGGAUCCGCUUUGCUAGAUCCUCGACGUUGAUAAGAUGUUUCUACGUCUUGGGUUUCGCUCGGGAAGGACCUGCUUCUAACCGUCCCCAUCGGGGACAAUGUUCGAGAGCCGAUCGCCCUUCACGGGGUGGGAAGCUUUUCGACCCAUGAAACCUUGACCUCAAAUCGGGUGAGACUACCCGCUGAACUUAAGCAUAUCAAUAAGCGGAGGAAAAGAAAACUAACAAAGGAUUCCCCUAGUAACUGCGAGUGAAGCGGGAAAAGCUCAAAUUUAAAAUCUGGUGGUCUUUUGGCCAUCCCGAGUUGUAAUUAAGAGAAGCGUCUUCCGCGCUGGACCGUACACAAGUCUCCUGGAACGGAGCGUCAUAGAGGGUGAGACUCCCGUCUUUGGUACGGACCCCCAGGGCUUCUGUGAUCCUCUCUAGAAGAGUCGAGUUGUUUGAAAAUACACCUCAAAAUGGGUGGUCAACUCCAUCUAAAGCUAAAUAUGCGCGAGAGACCGAUAGCC
This 966-nucleotide ribosomal RNA is filed under the name uncultured Russulaceae. Its description in RNAcentral is "eukaryotic LSU rRNA". The stretch from base 614 to 966 matches the Rfam family "Eukaryotic large subunit ribosomal RNA", at positions 1 to 342 of the family's 3401-position model. The record is from RNAcentral. Lineage: Eukaryota; Fungi; Basidiomycota; Agaricomycetes; Russulales; Russulaceae.